CCUACGGGAGGCUGCAGUGAGGAAUAUUGGUCAAUGGGCGAGAGCCUGAACCAGCCAAGUCGCGUGAGGGAGUACUGCCCUAUGGGUUGUAAACCUCUUUUGUCGGGGAGCAAAAGCCGGACGUGUCCGGCUGUGAGAGUACCCGAAGAAAAAGCAUCGGCUAACUCCGUGCCAGCAGCGGCGGUAAUACGGAGGAUGCGAGCGUGAUCCGGAUUUAUUGGGUUUAAAGGGUGCGCAGGCGGGUUUUUAAGUCAGCGGUCAAAUCGUGGGGCUCAACCCCAUCCAGCCGUUGAAACUGGGGAUCUUGAGUGUGCGAGAGGUAUGCGGAAUGCGUGGUGUAGCGGUGAAAUGCAUAGAUAUCACGCAGAACCCCGAUUGCGAAGGCAGCAUACCGGUGCACAACUGACGCUCAGGCACGAAAGCGUGGGUAUCGAACAGGAUUAGAUACCCCAGUAGUC
RNAcentral lists this ribosomal RNA (458 nucleotides) under uncultured bacterium. Its description in RNAcentral is "partial 16S ribosomal RNA". It matches the Rfam family "Bacterial small subunit ribosomal RNA", at positions 338 to 795 of the family's 1533-position model. The record is from RNAcentral.